This 400-nucleotide ribosomal RNA is filed under the name phytoplankton environmental sample. RNAcentral's name for it is "partial small subunit ribosomal RNA". It matches the Rfam family "Eukaryotic small subunit ribosomal RNA", at positions 587 to 973 of the family's 1831-position model. The record is from RNAcentral.
AGCUCCAAUAGCGUAUAUUAAAGUUGUUGCAGUUAAAAAGCUCGUAGUUGGAUUUCUGGUGUCUUUUUGCGUUUCCUUCUUUGCCAGCGAAAUGCUGGUGUUGGUCGCAAUGGAUGCCUUCUUUCUCCGCUAAUUUGUCGCUGAAUCAUUAAUUUGGCUCGGUGAUGAAUGGGGAUCAUUUACUGUGAAAAAAUUAGAGUGUUCAAAGCAAGUAUUAUUUCUUGAAUACAUUAGCAUGGAAUAAUAAGAUAGGACUUGGGUAAUAUUUUGUUGGUUUGCAUAUCCGGGUAAUGAUUAAUAGGAACAUAUUGGGGAUAUCUGUAUUUUUUAGUCAGAGGUGAAAUUCUUGGAUUUAAGAAAGACAAACUACAGCGAAAGCAUUUAUCAAGGAUGUUUUCAU